RNAcentral lists this ribosomal RNA (497 nucleotides) under uncultured bacterium. RNAcentral describes it as "partial 16S ribosomal RNA". It matches the Rfam family "Bacterial small subunit ribosomal RNA", at positions 28 to 507 of the family's 1533-position model. The record is from RNAcentral.
GAUGAACGCUGGCGGCGUGCCUAAUACAUGCAAGUCGAGCGAACAGACGAGGAGCUUGCUUCUCUGACGUUAGCGGCGGACGGGUGAGUAACACGUGGAUAACCUACCUAUAAGACUGGGAUAACUUCGGGAAACCGGAGCUAAUACCGGAUGAUAUUUUGAACCGCAUGGUUCAAUAGUGAAAGACGGUCUUGCUGUCACUUAUAGAUGGAUCCGCGCUGCAUUAGCUAGUUGGUAAGGUAACGGCUUACCAAGGGAACGAUGCCUAGCCGACCUGAGAGGGUGAUCGGCCACACUGGAACUGAGACACGGUCCAGACUCCUACGGGAGGCAGCAGUAGGGAAUCUUCCGCAAUGGGCGAAAGCCUGACGGAGCAACGCCGCGUGAGUGAUGAAGGUCUUCGGAUCGUAAAACUCUGUUAUUAGGGAAGAACAGAUGUGUAAGUAACUGUGCACAUCUUGACGGUACCUAAUCAGAAAGCCACGGCUAACUACGUG